RNAcentral lists this small RNA (285 nucleotides) under Rothia terrae. RNAcentral's name for it is "5' ureB small RNA". It matches the Rfam family "5' ureB small RNA". The record is from RNAcentral. Lineage: Bacteria; Bacillati; Actinomycetota; Actinomycetes; Micrococcales; Micrococcaceae.
UUUCAAUCUGGUCGGGGCUGAUGAAGUGGAUGUGGGUGUCGAUACCGCCAGCGGUCAGAAUCUUGCCCUCACCUGCCACGAUAUCGGUUGCCACACCAAUAGGAAUGGUCACACCAUCCAUGGUGUGCGGGUUGCCUGCUUUACCGAUUGCCAUAAUGUGACCGUCGCGGACAGCAACGUCAGCCUUGUAAAUACCGGUGUAGUCAAUGACCACAACGUUGGUGAUCACGAGAUCGGGAAUACCCAUAUCGCGCACCAUGUGGCUGUUCUGGCCCAUGCCGUCAC